RNAcentral lists this unclassified non-coding RNA (356 nucleotides) under soil metagenome. Its description in RNAcentral is "partial contains 5.8S ribosomal RNA, internal transcribed spacer 2, and large subunit ribosomal RNA". The stretch from base 1 to 120 matches the Rfam family "5.8S ribosomal RNA", at positions 35 to 154 of the family's 154-position model. The record is from RNAcentral.
GAUGAAGAACGUAGCGAAAUGCGAUAAGUAGUGUGAAUUGCAGAAUUCAGUGAAUCAUCGAAUCUUUGAACGCACAUUGCGCCCCUUGGUAUUCCAUGGGGCAUGCCUGUUCGAGCGUCAUUUCAACCCUCGAACCCCUCCGGGGGGUCGGCGUUGGGGAUCGGGAACCCCUAAGACGGGAUCCCGGCCCCGAAAUACAGUGGCGGUCUCGCCGCAGCCUCUCCUGCGCAGUAGUUUGCACAACUCGCACCGGGAGCGCGGCGCGUCCACGUCCGUAAAACACCCAACUUCUGAAAUGUUGACCUCGGAUCAGGUAGGAAUACCCGCUGAACUUAAGCAUAUCAAUAAGCGGAGGA